GGGUCUCAUUUUUAAGUUUUACUUAAGGCUCCAAAUUUAGUUAAGCCGGCCCUCAGAUCAUUCAAAAAAUAUUUUCAAAAAAAUUGAAAAAUCAAUACAUGAUAAAAUACUAUUUUGAAGUACUCGUCGAACCGCUAGUUGACUAUAAAAAUCUCAAACAAAACAAAGUCAUUUUUUUCUGAAAAUUUUAUAAUAUCAUCAAAAAUUAUAGAUCUUGACAUCCAUACGGUUGGAUUAUCGAGAAAUAAUUUUUAAGAAGCUAUAAUAGCAAUACAUCAUAAAACACUAGUUAGAAUUAUUAGUCAAACAAAUAGUUUACUGUGAAAAUCUCAAAACAAAUAAAUUUAUAUUCUUAUAAAAUUGUUAGUAAUAUCACUAAAAUAUAUACAUCUUGACAUCCAUAAGGUUAGGACAUCGAGAAAUAUCUUAAAAAAAAUAAUAAAACAACAAUACUUGAUAAAGUAUUUCAAUAAUGUGUGGGUCACCAGAUGUUACUGACAUAGCGCGUGUUUGGAAGAAAGAAGUAACCACUUCUUUUAAGUAGGGCUGAGCAUUCGGUCGGUUCGGUUCAAAACCGAACAGAACCGAAAACCGAAUUGGGCUUUUUUCUGAAACCGAACCGAACCGAAUUAUUAUUCUGGACCGAACCAAACCGACCGAAUUAUUUCGGUUCGGUUUCGGUUUAAAAAACCCGAAAUUUAUCACCUUCCACUAUUCUGGCUGAUUUGAGAAUACCAGACGUCUCAAAACUUGAAAGCAAAACUUAUCCCCGGAUGAAGAUCUAUACUCUAUACAACCUUCCCCACUCAAGAUCUGUUAGGUCCCGAUAGAUGGUUUAAUUAAGCUAGAAGGGGGGGAGGGGGUUGAAUAGCUUAAUCACCAAUUAAAAAUAUUUAUUUCGUUUUAAAAAGUUUUCACCCCUUCUUUAGAUCUUGUAUCGAGAGUAUUGGCAGUUACGUGCGGAAGUGUAAGAAAAGAAAAGGAAAAUAUCACACGAGAGAUUUUAUCCUGGUUCGUGGUGGCUAACUCAACCCUUGGAGUCCACUCACCCCUAGUCCAGUCCCCGAGCUCCUCCCCGGACUCGAGAUUUUCUCUACUAUAAAGAAACUCCUUUACAGUAGGCGGAGAAGCCUUUACAAAUAUAUAUCUUGGAGCGUAACUCUUUGUCACCUCCUCACUAUAAAUGUAACCUUACAAGACUCGUCUUGGAGCGUAACUACCCGUUACCUCCUCAAAGUCGUUGUACCUAAAAGUGGUCUUUGUACUUCCAAACCUUUUGCCGGUCUUGGAUCUUAGGUAUUAGGUCUUGGGUCUUUCCUCUUCUUCACGGUGCGAUGACUAUCAACUCCCCGUCAAUACGUCAAGGACUUGGGUCUUAGAACGAAGAUCACCUCACUUCACUUCACCUCACUGCAAAAGUUAGAACACAAUAUCCACAAACAAAUAUAUCCUUGUUUUAUAAAAGUUUUGGUUCCGCAAGUUUUAGUCCGAUUUUAACCACGUUGAAAUUAGUCGAUUAUAACGUUUUAGUCGGUGGUUAAGUCGUUGGUUCAAUUUUAACAAAUUAUAUCGCGCGGAGAAAUAUAAGUUGUUGAUUUUAAUAAAAUCGAGUGAUGAGUGAGUUUUGAAAAGACGGAGUCGAAGUCGAGCACAAGUUAUAUCACACACACUCACACGUACGUAAUUGAACCAAGUAGCUUGUUCGGUUAGUACCCCACGAUAGCGAAAAGGCCCAAACGGGGUUUUUCACCGAAACAAGUAAAAUCACACCCAACACACACGUUCGGAAAAUAAACACGUAAACCACGUAUCUUAUCUUAAUGAUAUCCCCACCAAGCACUAGGCUGAAAAAUGGGUGUUUCACUAAAACAAGAAGGGUAUGGGAGUGAUGGGAAUGGGAGCACAAAUAUGAGUUAGUGAGCAAGUAAAGUUAGUGCACAAUAUUCCCGAUAAUAACGAGUGGCCAACUCGAGUAUUUUGAAAUCAAGAGAGCUUAAGAUGACGAGAAAUUUAGUUUAAAAGCCCUUUGAAAAUGGUCGGUUAAGACACGAAUAAAUGAAGCUAAAAGUAACCACUUACACGAAAGUUCGCCGGAAAAAUUCGUCGGAGGUUCGAUACGAUUUUAAGCACACGAACGAAUUUGAGCAGCCCUUCGGGAGGUUGAAAAGAGUGGUUUAUGAAAAUGUUAAGAUGAACGAAGCUUGGUUGGGUGGAACGAAGCUUCGGGGUUUAAAACCUUGUAUAUAUAGGAAUAUAGGAAGAAUCGAAGGUUUUAAAGAUGAAGUAGAAGAAGUGGGCACUUGAAUAAACUUUGGGAGAGUGUUUCUUCUCUAAAAUCUCAGCAAGUAUUUGGC
This 2354-nucleotide long non-coding RNA is filed under the name Daucus carota (carrot). Its description in RNAcentral is "long non-coding RNA (DCAR_LNC002542)". Lineage: Eukaryota; Viridiplantae; Streptophyta; Magnoliopsida; Apiales; Apiaceae. The record is from RNAcentral.